Non-coding RNA from Dujonia railenensis, 72 nucleotides. NCBI's taxonomy places the organism in Eukaryota, Fungi, Ascomycota, Pichiomycetes, Serinales, Debaryomycetaceae. The record is from the annotation of a GenBank genome assembly.
GGUUCUAUGGUCUAGCGGUAUGACGUUUCUUUCACUCAGAAAAGGUCUCGAGUUCGAUCCUCGAUGGAAUCA